CUGGAGAGCCCGGACGUCGAUGCUGAUUGGUGGUGCCUCGUUGACGACGAGCCCGUUCCACUCGACCCCCCGUUCUCUACCACCCAUAUAGUGGACUUCCCGACCUCCUCCGAUCCACCUCUCUCUCCUCUCUCCACCCUCCCCCCUGCACCUCGCAGUUGCUAUUUAUAGGGGGCCAACAGAGCGCUGUCGUCGUCAUCGUCUC
Molecule: long non-coding RNA, 205 nt
Filed under: Elaeis guineensis (African oil palm)
Lineage: Eukaryota; Viridiplantae; Streptophyta; Magnoliopsida; Arecales; Arecaceae
Description: long non-coding RNA (EGUI_LNC057266)
Source: RNAcentral